Rhopalosiphum padi (bird cherry-oat aphid) is the source of this 221-nucleotide long non-coding RNA. RefSeq lists it as uncharacterized. The transcript has 3 exons. The record is from RefSeq and is a predicted model, not a curated record. NCBI's taxonomy places the organism in Eukaryota, Metazoa, Arthropoda, Insecta, Hemiptera, Aphididae.
AUCAUUGUCAAACAUAAUUUUGUACUAUUCUUACAUUAUCUUAUUCAACUCAGUUAAAGUUAUUUACAUUUAUUAUACUUACCUACUUACAAAAAUGGUAAAAAAUAUUAAUAUUUUAACUUUUUUUUUUAUAUUUUAUUUGAUUGAUGGUAUGAAUGCUGUCGGCUCCAGCGAUGAUAUAGACAAAGGAAAAGGAGUUGAUAUUACUCAGGAGCACAGUG